GGUGGCAUUAUCAGAGCACAAUCAAGAAAUGUGCUUUACAUAUGCUUCUGAUAUGAAAAAUAUGCUUAUGAUAUGUAGAUCACUUGAGGGAAAAUUUGCUUAUGAAGUACAUGUUUUUUUAGCGGGACAACUCACUUGAGGGAACUAGUAUAGUGCCCAUGGCACACCACGGUUUCAUUCUAGGGUGUAAUUAAAAAGAACAAAACAACGAUAUUGUUCAAUAGUUUAAGUCACAUUCAAUUAUGGGAAAUGCUAAUGUAUAACAAGACACAAUAAAAUCAUAUCUCGUAUAUUUCAGCUAAUUUAUUUGUUGAAGUAGAACUUGGAGUUCUCCAGGGAUAUUAUCUGUACAUUCAUUUGUGUUACUCUUCAAAAUAUUCACUAUGAAUUCAGUCCUCAUUGAACAUGACCUCUGUGAAUGGUAGAUAAUAAGUUAACUUAUUAAUUUUCUAUAUAGGCUACAAGAUAUUAUACAUAUAAGUUAUAUAAGCAGUGUCGAUAAACGUCAGUCUUUCACCAUUCCAUGACUUUAUGAAGUUGUAUACGAGAAAGCCUGCCAAUUUCCUAUAGAAGAAGAAGAGAGGAAGUGUUUGUUUGUUGUAGAUAAAAUCAAAUGACUAUUUGAUAAGAAAGAUAAAAAAAUCAAAAUAAGUUUUACCAGUCCUUGCUUUUUGGAUGAUUUUUUGGAUUAUUAUUAUUAUUAUAUAUUAUUAUAUAUAACUUGGAUCGUAUGUAUUUUUUUAUUUUAGUUCUAUAUCCAAUUUAGUCAUUCAGUUUUUUUAUUUUUUUAUUCAUUCAGUAUGUCAGUCCUUGCAAAAGGCAAGAGAGAAAACAAAAAUUGAGUUGUCCCUUAUAUAACAUAAACUGAGAAGACAUGGCUCCAACUUUGAAACAAGUAGCACUGUCUUUGCGACAAUGGUAACAGGGGGCAGCAAGCAUGCACCAGGAUCUGCACUGCUGAUACCUGGAUGCCUAACAAUGGUAACAGGGGGCAGCAAGCAAGUACUUGAUCUGCACUAUGGCACCAGCCGCCGCCGCGCGGAUUGGAUGCCUGACUCCACCGGCCGCCGAAUGUGUGGACGCUCGAUCUGCAUCGGCUGCUCAACGAUGGUCCCGUCUUGAUGAUUGUGUGCAUUCGGUGGUUGUGAUUAGCAGAUGUUCGUGUGUGGCGCCGGCAUGAUUCACGGCGAGUAGCAGGAGUCCCUCGGUGCGAGCGUUGGGAUUAGAGUCACGAGACCCGAUAGACGUGAUUAGCGGCGGCGCAACAGGUGUUUUUGUUUUUGUUGGGGGCAGACGGUAGAGGCUGAGGAGGUUGAUACAAGCAAUCUUAGCCCUUGGAUUUGAAUGAGUAAGGAGAGAGAAUACUCAGAUUAAAUCUAGACAGUCUAUUUUGAAGAUGUUGUGUUUCUGGGUACACUUUUCUAGGUGGAUGGAGAGAGGGCUCCUCAGCAAGGGACGUUUUUUGGUGUGGAGGUAUGAAAAAAAAACUCGGUGCAUUAUUAGGGUAGAUUCUCUUAGCAAGCAGCUCCUAGCGGUUAGAAGAAUAGUGGCUCUGAGUCAAAGCAGCUGGGAAUUCUCUAAGUCACUCAAAAAAGGAAUCUGUCUAACUUAGCAGCUGACAUAUGAAUCUGUCUAACUUAGCAGCUGACUUAGCAGCUGACACAGCAUUGUUGUAACUUAGCAGCUGACAUAGCCUGGAAUUUCAACUAACUUAGCAGAUAACUUUCUUUUUUUUGUUCAUCAACAGCUGAUUUCAUCAUUCCUGUCCGCUAAUUUUCUUUUGUACAUAUUUUUUAUGAAGCUGUUUGAGGACUAUAUUGAGGACUACUCGG
Molecule: long non-coding RNA, 1832 nt
Filed under: Sorghum bicolor (sorghum)
Lineage: Eukaryota; Viridiplantae; Streptophyta; Magnoliopsida; Poales; Poaceae
Description: long non-coding RNA (SBIC_LNC014708)
Source: RNAcentral